Molecule: ribosomal RNA, 345 nt
Filed under: Triticum aestivum (bread wheat)
Lineage: Eukaryota; Viridiplantae; Streptophyta; Magnoliopsida; Poales; Poaceae
Description: partial small subunit ribosomal RNA
Source: RNAcentral
AUGUUCCUUGGUGCAUCAGCAGUGGUUUUUCCAAAUAUUUCUGAGUCGGCGACUCUUGAAUCACUGGCCAUCAGGGAGGCGUUGGCCAUAGCAGAUGAUUUGUACAAGAGGGGCAUUCAAGUGGCGUCGGAUUGCAAAGUGGUAGUGGACGAUAUACGACAGAAGAACCCAACGCUCUACGGGGCGAUCAUACAUGAAAUCAUACACUGGAAAACUCCUUUUACUUUAUGUAAUAUUAUUCAUGAAUUUAGGAGCUCGAAUGUCGAGGCUCACAAACUCGCAAAACACGCAUUAUUCCUAGGGGCUGGCCGCCAUGUUUGGUUAGGUCAGCCCAAUGGUCUUCAU